Callithrix jacchus (white-tufted-ear marmoset) is the source of this 102-nucleotide small nuclear RNA. NCBI's taxonomy places the organism in Eukaryota, Metazoa, Chordata, Mammalia, Primates, Cebidae. The record is from Ensembl.
GUUCGCUUUGUGAGCACAUAUGCUACCAUCGGAGCAAUACAGAGAUUAGCGUGGCCCCUGUUCAAGGAUGACAUGCCCAUCUGUGAAGCGUUCCAUUAAAAA